UACGGAGGGGGCUAGCGUUGUUCGGAAUUACUGGGCGUAAAGAGUACGUAGGCGGUUUACCAAGCCAGAUGUGAAAUCCCGGGGCUUAACCUCGGAACUGCAUUUGGAACUGGUAGACUAGAGAUAGUUAGAGGUUGGUGGAAUUUCUUGUGUAGGGGUGAAAUCCGUAGAUAUAAGAAGGAAUAUCAAUGGCGAAGGCAGCCAACUGGGACUUUUCUGACGCUGAGGUACGAAAGCGUGGGUAGCAAACAGG
Molecule: ribosomal RNA, 253 nt
Filed under: uncultured bacterium
Lineage: Bacteria
Description: partial 16S ribosomal RNA
Rfam family: Bacterial small subunit ribosomal RNA
Source: RNAcentral